Triticum urartu is the source of this 115-nucleotide non-coding RNA. Lineage: Eukaryota; Viridiplantae; Streptophyta; Magnoliopsida; Poales; Poaceae. The record is from Rfam.
CACCUACUCCCUCCGUUCCAUAUUAGUUGUCGCUCAAAAGGAUGUAUCUAGCACUAAAAUAUGUCUGGAUACAUCCAUUUCUUCGACGACUAAUAUGGAACGGAGGGAGUACCUU